Zonotrichia albicollis (white-throated sparrow) is the source of this 945-nucleotide non-coding RNA. Lineage: Eukaryota; Metazoa; Chordata; Aves; Passeriformes; Passerellidae. The record is from RefSeq and is a predicted model, not a curated record.
GGAACUGGAGUCAGUUGGCUGCUUUGUGAAGAAGAAAGAGUCAGUGCUCUGAGGAAUAGCCCACAAGAAACACCAAGAAGAUCACAGGCUAAAAAGAAUAUCACCCCACUGAAAACAGUUUGCCUUACCUCCAGCACAGAUCACGAUAGCCAGUUUAACAUCAACAAUGAAACUCACCCUGUGACAGGAGAUGCAGGUAUUUUGUGUGAAGAAGCUAUGUUAUGGCCAGGCUGCACAACAACCCUCCUUCUCUUGUUUGGAUUUAAACCAUAGCUCUCAUGCUGGAAUACCUCAUCUAGUGGUUUUCCAAGACAGAAUGAGCUCUGUCCUCAGGAACUUAUUUGGAGCAUGUAAGAAAAGGCAUGUGUUUCAUCUUUGCCUGUGAAAAUGAAGUUCUCCCUCUGCUCAUUAUCUGAACAAGAAGCUCUCAUCUUCUUGGGCUAUUAUACACUACAUACAGAUGGGUAAUAGCUCUGCUGUCACAUCACCUUUUCUGUAACCUGCUGUGCACAAUGCCUGCCACAUCAUUAAUCUCAACUUUUUGAGACCUGGAUUCUGGAGCAGGUUCUCUUCUAAGGAGCCUUCCUGUGGUGAAUAAAUAAGUUAAAAGAUCUCAGUGGACUCCAACAGAUUUUUGACUUGGGGAGGAAAGGAAGGGUUGAAGAAAAUGUUUCUUCAAAAGCAGUAACUCACAUCCUUUAGUAAUUUCUAAUGAUUGGAAUGAAGAGGAAAAUGGACUUGAAUACAGUGAGGAUAUUUUUUGUGUUCUCUGCGUGAAUUAUUUUGUGUUCUCUGCAUGAAUUAUUAACUAAAAUGGUAUUUCUAAGAAUACCUAUAAUGUUGCCACAAUAACAAUGAAAAUGCCUUAUCAAAGAAGCUACAAAAUUGAACAGUGAAAUAUUUAUUUGAGGAUUGUUGCUCUAGCUUUCAGAGACUUGAAUGUAA